UGGGGAAUAUUGCGCAAUGGGCGAAAGCCUGACGCAGCGACGCCGCGUGAGGGAUGAAGGUUUUCGGAUCGUAAACCUCUGUCAGAAGGGAAGAAACCGCAUCGUGCUAAUCAGCGGUGCAUUGACGGUACCUCCAAAGGAAGCACCGGCUAACUCCGUGCCAGCAGCGGCGGUAAUACGGUGGGUGCAAGCGUUAAUCGGAAUUACUGGUCGUAAAGCGCACGUAGGCUGCUUGGUAAGUCAGGGGUGAAAUCCCACGGCUCAACCGUGGAACUGCCUUUGAUACUGCUUAGCUUGAAUCCGGGAGAGGGUGGCGGAAUUCCAGGUGUAGGAGUGAAAUCCGUAGAUAUCUGGAGGAACAUCAGUGGCGAAGGCGGCCACCUGGACCGGUAUUGACGCUGAGGUGCGAAAGCGUGGGGAGCAAACAGGAUU
Molecule: ribosomal RNA, 432 nt
Filed under: uncultured bacterium
Lineage: Bacteria
Description: bacterial SSU rRNA
Rfam family: Bacterial small subunit ribosomal RNA
Source: RNAcentral